GGGCUUUCCAAGGUAUGCCAGGCUUAAGAGGAAAUGCAGGUGAAAGAGGGCCUCCUGGGGAAGUUGGACCAAUUGGGCUUCCAGGGCGUAAAGGAGAACGAGGAGAAAAGGGAGAACCUCAGUCUAUGGCAACAAUUUAUCAGCUUGUCACACAAACUUGUGAACAACUUGUCCAUAGUAAG
Polypterus senegalus (gray bichir) is the source of this 182-nucleotide long non-coding RNA. RefSeq lists it as uncharacterized. NCBI's taxonomy places the organism in Eukaryota, Metazoa, Chordata, Cladistia, Polypteriformes, Polypteridae. The transcript is spliced from 3 exons. The record is from RefSeq and is a predicted model, not a curated record.